GUACUUGAUUCUCCCCCCUCAUCGUCUAGCAUAGUUCCGCUCGUAUUUGCCAUUCCGAAUAGUGCAAUAUGAGUGAAAGUAUGCCACACGAUAGGGGGAUUACAGUAUC
Molecule: microRNA precursor, 109 nt
Filed under: Pristionchus pacificus
Lineage: Eukaryota; Metazoa; Nematoda; Chromadorea; Rhabditida; Neodiplogasteridae
Description: microRNA ppc-mir-2245 precursor
Source: miRBase by way of RNAcentral